RNAcentral lists this ribosomal RNA (427 nucleotides) under uncultured bacterium. RNAcentral describes it as "partial 16S ribosomal RNA". It matches the Rfam family "Bacterial small subunit ribosomal RNA", at positions 355 to 774 of the family's 1533-position model. The record is from RNAcentral.
UGGGGAAUAUUGCACAAUGGGCGCAAGCCUGAUGCAGCCAUGCCGCGUGUAUGAAGAAGGCCUUCGGGCUGUAAAGUACUUUCAGCGAGGAGGAAGGCGAUGCGGUUAAUAACCGUGUCGAUUGACGUUACUCGCAGAAGAAGCACCGGCUAACUCCGUGCCAGCAGCCGCGGUAAUACGGAGGGUGCAAGCGUUAAUAGGAAUUACUGGGCGUAAAGCGCACGCAGGCGGUCUGUCAAGUCGGAUGUGAAAUCCCCGGGCUCAACCUGGGAACUGCAUUCGAAACUGGCAGGCUUGAGUCUUGUAGAGGGGGGUAGAAUUCCAGGUGUAGCGGUGAAAUGCGUAGAGAUCUGGAGGAAUACCGGUGGCGAAGGCGGCCCCCUGGACAAAGACUGACGCUCAGGUGCGAAAGCGUGGGGAGCAAACA